This 485-nucleotide ribosomal RNA is filed under the name uncultured bacterium. RNAcentral describes it as "partial 16S ribosomal RNA". It matches the Rfam family "Bacterial small subunit ribosomal RNA", at positions 30 to 507 of the family's 1533-position model. The record is from RNAcentral.
AUUGAACGCUGGCGGCAUGCCUUACACAUGCAAGUCGAACGGCAGCACGGGUGCUUGCACCUGGUGGCGAGUGGCGAACGGGUGAGUAAUACAUCGGAACAUGUCCUGUAGUGGGGGAUAGCCCGGCGAAAGCCGGAUUAAUACCGCAUACGAUCUACGGAUGAAAGCGGGGGACCUUCGGGCCUCGCGCUAUAGGGUUGGCCGAUGGCUGAUUAGCUAGUUGGUGGGGUAAAGGCCUACCAAGGCGACGAUCAGUAGCUGGUCUGAGAGGACGACCAGCCACACUGGGACUGAGACACGGCCCAGACUCCUACGGGAGGCAGCAGUGGGGAUUUUGGACAAUGGGCGAAAGCCUGAUCCAGCAAUGCCGCGUGUGUGAAGAAGGCCUUCGGGUUGUAAAGCACUUUUGUCCGGAAAGAAAUCCUUGGCCCUAAUACGGUCGGGGGAUGACGGUACCGGAAGAAUAAGCACCGGCUAACUACGUG